CCUACGGGCGGCAGCAGUGAGGAAUAUUGGUCAAUGGGCGCUAGCCUGACCCAGCCAAGUAGCGUGAAGGAUGACUGCCCUACGGGUUGUAAACUUCUUUUAUAAAGGAAUAAAGUGAAGCAUGUGUGCUGUUUUGUAUGUACUUUAUGAAUAAGGAUCGGCUAACUCCGUGCCAGCAGCCGCGGUAAUACGGAGGAUCCGAGCGUUAUCCGGAUUUAUUGGGUUUAAAGGGAGCGUAGACGGGUUGUUAAGUCAGUUGUGAAAGUUUGCGGCUCAACCGUAAAAUUGCAAUUGAUACUGGCAGCCUUGAGUACAGUAGAGGUAGGCGGAAUUCGUGGUGUAGCGGUGAAAUGCUUAGAUAUCACGAAGAACUCCGAUUGCGAAGGCAGCUUGCUAGACUGUAACUGACGCUGAUGCUCGAAAGUGUGGGUAUCAAACAGGAUUAGAUACCCUUGUAGUC
RNAcentral lists this ribosomal RNA (460 nucleotides) under uncultured bacterium. RNAcentral describes it as "partial 16S ribosomal RNA". It matches the Rfam family "Bacterial small subunit ribosomal RNA", at positions 338 to 795 of the family's 1533-position model. The record is from RNAcentral.